This 492-nucleotide ribosomal RNA is filed under the name uncultured bacterium. RNAcentral's name for it is "partial 16S ribosomal RNA". It matches the Rfam family "Bacterial small subunit ribosomal RNA", at positions 29 to 507 of the family's 1533-position model. The record is from RNAcentral.
AGUGAACGCUGGCGGUAGGCCUAACACAUGCAAGUCGAACAGCAGCACAGUAAGAGCUUGCUCUUACGGGUGGCGAGUGGCGGACGGGUGAGGAAUACAUCGGAAUCUACUUUUUCGUGGGGGAUAACGUAGGGAAACUUACGCUAAUACCGCAUACGACCUACGGGUGAAAGCAGGGGAUCUUCGGACCUUGCGCGAUUGAAUGAGCCGAUGUCGGAUUAGCUAGUUGGCGGGGUAAAGGCCCACCAAGGCGACGAUCCGUAGCUGGUCUGAGAGGACGAUCAGCCACACUGGAACUGAGACACGGUCCAGACUCCUACGGGAGGCAGCAGUGGGGAAUAUUGGACAAUGGGCGCAAGCCUGAUCCAGCCAUACCGCGUGGGUGAAGAAGGCCUUCGGGUUGUAAAGCCCUUUUGUUGGGAAAGAAAAGCAGCAGGUUAAUACCCCGCUGUUCUGACGGUACCCAAAGAAUAAGCACCGGCUAACUUCGUG